GCAUAUAUUAUUUAGACAUGCACAAGGUGAAGUAAGUAGCACCUGAAGUAGUCAAGAAAAAGGCGACUAGUGUGCCAUAUUAUAGUAAGAUACAACACAAUCAUAUAGCAGUAGCAAUUUCAUUCAUCUCUUUACAAUACUUCCCCCAUUUUACGAAAGUAACUGUGGCGUGUAAUUACAUUAAAGGCUAUUAUGCAGCUUCAGCAAAACCCACUUGGGAUUUACCAUAGUCAAAGACAGUGUGAUACGGCCCCAUGAAUACAUCUCCAAGAAUCCAAAGAGGACCGCGAGGUGGUGGCACAUCCAGAGCAGCAAAUCCACUGACACAAAUUGUAGCAACCCCUUCUCCAGUUUUAAGAAUAUACUGUUCUGGAGUGAGCACAAAGGCUGUAUCUUUGAUAGUGAAUGUAAUAUCUGGCAUGGAUGAGAUGCGGUUACAGUCAAUCGCAGAUUCUCCCAUUGGACUUGGUAUUUUCUCACAAAGCUGAUUCACAUACUCUAACACUUUCUCUUUUGUCUGCUCUUGUUUGAGCUGGUUUUGCAUCCAAACAACUGCCAUCUCACAGGCAGUGCACAGUGGUGCUUCACCAACAGAACUUCCUUCAGUUUCCCUUUCAACUACAGUUCUGAUAUUAGAGCUCACAUGCUGAGAUCCAUCAAGAAAGCAUAAACCUGCUUGUGAACAAACUUGAUCAGGUCUUAUCCCUGAUACUAGUAAGUCCCAGAUCAUCUCUCCAUACUGUGAAACAAUAGUUUUACAUUCCAUGCUAACUAUUCCUUCUGCUCCAAUGGCAUGGUUGAUUUGUGUCACGAUGGUUGUUGGACCAGCAAGCAGUGAUGUUCCAGAAUCCACAAUAGCAGCACAACCACCUGCACAAUAACCAGUUGAUGUGUUCCCGAUAAGGAAAUCUCCCAUAUUAAACUGCCAGUAGCCCUUCUGAGUCAACGGAACACAAGUAUGAUUACCCUUGAAGUGCUUUGGAUCAACUCCACCAAAAACAAGUUCACCUCCCUCUUUUGCAUUUGCAUCACGGUUAAACCAGAAAGAGAAGACGGGUUCUUUGACAAGACCUUGCCCCACCAUAUUGUACCAGACAGGUGUAGUAUUUCCAACAGAAAUUUCCUGGAAACCAAGGCCUAGUAUACCAUCAAACUUUGCAACAAUAAAUGUAAUACUAGGUUCUCGUGUCGCCUCAAUAAACACCUGAUCUUUAACUACAAGAUCACCAACUUGAACAUUGUCCAUACUGAAAUGGCCAGAAAUAGAUCCAGUUCCAUAACGGAUUGAACAAGAUUCCCCAUCUCUUGUAUAUGUACUGGAUUUGCUUGCCUGGUACUUAGAGUGGAUCCAGCAUGCAAUAGAGAAAUAGCAUUUCGAUGAUGGAACCCAGAGGUUAGAACUCCCAGUAUCAAAGAUAACUUUGAAUUUCUGUGGAGGUGAACCAAUACCAAUCUCUCCAUAGUAUUGGGCAUCCAAGUAGUUCUUUAAGGGGACUUUAUAGAUAUCUGAGUCACUCGAUUUCUUUUCAAUGCCAUUCACAUGCUUCCCAUAUCUAUCUUGUAGUUUGGCUACUCUUGCAGCUUUUAUGCUAUCAACAUCCAAGCGGUGCUUCUUCAAACCAAUUCUAAACAAAUCACCAGAGGAAGCAGGAAGUGCAGAGCAAGCAAUGGCCCAUAAAAGAAGAGCAGCACAUAGAUGCUUCUUAUCCAUGUCUGGAGAAGUUUUUGGAUAGAAAGCAGAGAAACAACAAGAAGUAAGGAAGCGAGUGUAAACAGAUACUAUUAAAUAGCCAAUAGGACAGUUUAAAG
This 1809-nucleotide unclassified non-coding RNA is filed under the name Hevea brasiliensis (rubber tree). Lineage: Eukaryota; Viridiplantae; Streptophyta; Magnoliopsida; Malpighiales; Euphorbiaceae. The record is from RNAcentral.